UACGUAGGGGGCAAGCGUUGUCCGGAUUUAUUGGGCGUAAAGAGCGUGUAGGCGGCUAGGUAGGUCCGUUGUGAAAACUCGAGGCUCAACCUCGAGACGUCGAUGGAAACCAUCUAGCUAGAGUCCGGAAGAGGAGAGUGGAAUUCCUGGUGUAGCGGUGAAAUGUGUAGAGAUCGGGAGGAACACCGGUGGCGAAGGCGGGUCUCUGGGGCAACUCCUGACGCUGAGGCGCGAAAGCGUGGGGAGCGAACAGG
This 254-nucleotide ribosomal RNA is filed under the name uncultured bacterium. RNAcentral describes it as "partial 16S ribosomal RNA". It matches the Rfam family "Bacterial small subunit ribosomal RNA", at positions 524 to 776 of the family's 1533-position model. The record is from RNAcentral.